ACGGAAGGCAGCAGUGCGGAAUAUUGGUCAAUGGGCGAGAGCCUGAACCAGCCAAGUAGCGUGAAGGAUGACUGCCCUACGGGUUGUAAACUUCUUUUAUACGGGAAUAAAAAAGGCCACGCGUGGCCUCUUGUAUGUACCGUAUGAAUAAGCAUCGGCUAAUUCCGUGCCAGCAGCCGCGGUAAUACGGAAGAUGCGAGCGUUAUCCGGAUUUAUUGGGUUUAAAGGGAGCGUAGGCGGGUCUUUAAGUCAGUGUUCAAAGCGUGUGGCUCAACCAUACCACGCCAUUGAUACUGGAGACCUUGAGUGCACAUGAGGAUGGUGGAAUUCGUCAUGUAGCGGUGAAAUGCUUAGAUAUGACGAAGAACUCCGAUUGCGAAGGCAGCUGUCCGGGGUGUAACUGACGCUAGUGCUCGAAAGUGCGGGUAUCAAACAGGAUUAGAUACCCUGGUA
RNAcentral lists this ribosomal RNA (453 nucleotides) under uncultured Prevotellaceae bacterium. RNAcentral describes it as "bacterial SSU rRNA". It matches the Rfam family "Bacterial small subunit ribosomal RNA", at positions 341 to 792 of the family's 1533-position model. The record is from RNAcentral. Lineage: Bacteria; Pseudomonadati; Bacteroidota; Bacteroidia; Bacteroidales; Prevotellaceae.